This 440-nucleotide ribosomal RNA is filed under the name uncultured bacterium. RNAcentral's name for it is "partial 16S ribosomal RNA". It matches the Rfam family "Bacterial small subunit ribosomal RNA", at positions 338 to 795 of the family's 1533-position model. The record is from RNAcentral.
CCUACGGGUGGCAGCAGUGGGGAAUAUUGCACAAUGGGGGAAACCCUGAUGCCGCGACGCCGCGUGAGUGAAGAAGUAAUUCGUUACGUAAAGCUCUAUCAGCAGGGAAGAACAUGACGGUACCUGAGUAAGAAGCCCCGGCUAACUACGAACCAGCCGCCGCGGUAAUACGUAGGGGGCAAGCGUUAUCCGGAUGUACUGGGUGUAAAGGGACCGUAGACGGUGCGCCAAGUCUGUAGGGAAAUGCCGCAGCUUAACUGCGGAACUGCUUUGGAAACUGGCGAAGUAGAGUUCGGGAGGGGUAAGCGGAAUUCCUAGGGUAGCGGUGAAAUGCGUAGAUAGUAGGAGGAACACCGGUGGCGAAGGCGGCUUACUGGACCGUAACUGACGUUGAGGCUCGAAAGCGUGGGGAGCAAACAGGAUUAGAUACCCGGGUAGUC